GGGCUACUGGAAUUGCUUAUUGCACCACAUGUGUUUUUCUUUGAAACAAACUUGCUUUGGCGGUGGGCCCAGCCUGCCGCCAGAGGUCUAAACUUACAACCAAUUUUUUAUCAACUUGUCACACCAGAUUAUUACUAAUAGUCAAAACUUUCAACAACGGAUCUCUUGGUUCUCGCAUCGAUGAAGAACGCAGCGAAAUGCGAUACGUAAUAUGAAUUGCAGAUAUUCGUGAAUCAUCGAAUCUUUGAACGCACAUUGCGCCCUCUGGUAUUCCGGAGGGCAUGCCUGUUUGAGCGUCGUUUCUCCCUCAAACCGCUGGGUUUGGUGUUGAGCAAUACGACUUGGGUUUGCUUGAAAGACGGUAGUGGUAAGGCGGGAUCGCUUUGACAAUGGCUUAGGUCUAACCAAAAACAUUGCUUGCGGCGGUAACGUCCACCACGUAUAUCUUCAAACUUUGACCUCAAAUCAGGUAGGACUACCCGCUGAACUUAAGCAUAUCAAUAAGCGGAGGAA
RNAcentral lists this ribosomal RNA (513 nucleotides) under Candida albicans. RNAcentral describes it as "eukaryotic LSU rRNA". The stretch from base 146 to 299 matches the Rfam family "5.8S ribosomal RNA". The record is from RNAcentral. Lineage: Eukaryota; Fungi; Ascomycota; Pichiomycetes; Serinales; Debaryomycetaceae.